AAGUCGUAACAAGGUUGCCGUAGGUGAACCUGCGGCAGGAUCAUUAAUGAUUUCAAACCUUAAAAACAUCGUCCUGUAUUGGGCUGCUUCUCGAGAGUCUGCUUCGGCAGUCUCGAUCGAGUGAGCUAAACAUACAUACACAAACUUUGUUUUCACAUGACUCGACACACGAAUUAUUAGUGUCGCCGUAAAAAAACUUGCCGAUCGGUGGAUCACUCGGCUGGUGGA
Molecule: unclassified non-coding RNA, 228 nt
Filed under: fungal sp.
Lineage: Eukaryota; Fungi
Description: partial internal transcribed spacer region
Rfam family: Eukaryotic small subunit ribosomal RNA (bases 1-46)
Source: RNAcentral